GGAAGUGAUGACCGAGAUGAAAGUACUGAGGCCAUUGUUAAGCAAUCAGUGGACACCAUAGCUAGAGCGUUGAGGGAGAGUGAGGAGUAUAAUAUCAUGUGAAGGGACUUGAUGAUAAAUUUGGAAAAGAUGGAGGGCCUUAGUAUGGUUCAAAGGGUGCUCGUAUUUAGGAGGUUGAAUAAUAAUUCGUCAGAUUUAAAGAGUUUUUACAACCUAAAUAAGGAGAACAAGCUGACUUUUGUGUUUGAUUUUUUGGGACAGUGAAUGCAAAAGUGUUGGAAAAUUAUAUAGUAUGUGUAGAUAAUUAUAG
RNAcentral lists this long non-coding RNA (310 nucleotides) under Linum usitatissimum (flax). Its description in RNAcentral is "long non-coding RNA (LUSI_LNC008097)". Lineage: Eukaryota; Viridiplantae; Streptophyta; Magnoliopsida; Malpighiales; Linaceae. The record is from RNAcentral.